This 981-nucleotide ribosomal RNA is filed under the name Chryseobacterium jejuense. Its description in RNAcentral is "bacterial SSU rRNA". It matches the Rfam family "Bacterial small subunit ribosomal RNA", at positions 55 to 1043 of the family's 1533-position model. Lineage: Bacteria; Pseudomonadati; Bacteroidota; Flavobacteriia; Flavobacteriales; Weeksellaceae. The record is from RNAcentral.
AUGCAGCCGAGCGGUAGAAGAUCUUCGGAUCUUUGAGAGCGGCGCACGGGUGCGGAACACGUGUGCAACCUGCCUUUAUCAGGGGGAUAGCCUUUCGAAAGGAAGAUUAAUACCCCAUAAUAUAAUGACUGGCAUCAGUUAUUAUUGAAAACUCCGGUGGAUAGAGAUGGGCACGCGCAAGAUUAGAUAGUUGGUGAGGUAACGGCUCACCAAGUCUGCGAUCUUUAGGGGGCCUGAGAGGGUGAUCCCCCACACUGGUACUGAGACACGGACCAGACUCCUACGGGAGGCAGCAGUGAGGAAUAUUGGACAAUGGGUGAGAGCCUGAUCCAGCCAUCCCGCGUGAAGGACGACGGCCCUAUGGGUUGUAAACUUCUUUUGUAUAGGGAUAAACCUACUCUCGUGAGAGUAGCUGAAGGUACUAUACGAAUAAGCACCGGCUAACUCCGUGCCAGCAGCCGCGGUAAUACGGAGGGUGCAAGCGUUAUCCGGAUUUAUUGGGUUUAAAGGGUCCGUAGGCUGAUUUGUAAGUCAGUGGUGAAAUCUCACAGCUCAACUGUGAAACUGCCAUUGAUACUGCAAGUCUUGAGUGUUGUUGAAGUAGCUGGAAUAAGUAGUGUAGCGGUGAAAUGCAUAGAUAUUACUUAGAACACCAAUUGCGAAGGCAGGUUACUAAGCAACAACUGACGCUGAUGGACGAAAGCGUGGGGAGCGAACAGGAUUAGAUACCCUGGUAGUCCACGCCGUAAACGAUGCUAACUCGUUUUUGGGUUUUCGGAUUCAGAGACUAAGCGAAAGUGAUAAGUUAGCCACCUGGGGAGUACGUUCGCAAGAAUGAAACUCAAAGGAAUUGACGGGGGCCCGCACAAGCGGUGGAUUAUGUGGUUUAAUUCGAUGAUACGCGAGGAACCUUACCAAGGCUUAAAUGGGAAUUGACAGGUUUAGAAAUAGACUUUUCUUCGGACAAUUUUCAAGGUGCUG